AGGACACUGGAGCAGCUGCCUGGCUAAGUUGUGUAAUUUGUGUCAGCCCAAGGAGCCCUGUGUGAGAAGAUAUGAAUCCUCAUAAUAACUGAGGUCCUGGAUAAAACAAACCUGAUUGCAGUACUGUGAGUCCCUCCAAAGAGAUUCAACUGGAGGAGAUCACAGCUCCCAAAAAGAACAUCACUGGUGAGUUGAGAGAAACUGACUAAUAUGGGUGAAAUGAUAGAGAAGCCAGUGGCUACUGUUGUAUCAAGAGACUGUGCCUGACUUGGCCAUGCCUGGCCAUCCCUGCUACGUUCUGGGAAGGAGACUACCAUCUGUAAACAGAAAGACUUGCACCACAAGGGACAUACAGAGUUUGCCGUGGAAGUCACCCUGAAAGAGUAAGUCAGGCUCAAGACAGAAGUGCACAUCUGGAAUGCAGUCUUCAUUCUGUUGAGGUCCCUGUGCAAUUUACUCUGGUCACUAGAAGCAUGGAGAUCAGCUUGGGCAGGAAAAUGCUGGUGGCAGAGUGCUGAGGUCCAGGGUGCCGAAGGACUGAUUUAGUGCGGAGGAGGAAGCCACUUUCAUGUUUAAGGAAAAGCUUUAAUUGCCUGUACUCUAAAAAAGGAAAACGUUAACAUGGAGUAAUUCCUUCAACCACUACCCUUGUAACUUCUUCUGACCACAUUUGAUGCUGGGCAUUCCCUAAGGAACGAAUUGUAAAUAACGCCAUCCAAAUUCCUGAGAACAAGAUGCAUGCCAGGUUUCUGCCAGGAUAACAGUUGAUGCCUAAUUGAGCCUGGGAUUGUUAAAAUGUCUCCUUUUUAUAGUCCUGAAUAAUGUAGAGCUAAUGAACAGAUUCCAUUUUAGAUCUGAAAGCAUCAGCUCUCUAGCAAAGGUUUUUCUGUGUGUGUGAUUUGGCUUACUAAAAAAAUACAUAAGUAAAAAUAAAAAUAUAGAGACUCUUCUCAGCACAACCUCUGUCUUCAUAUAGAUGCUAAAUUUUUCAUUAAAAUUAUGUGUAAAUUGCUAUAGCACAUAUACAGCUAUUCUAAUACGAACUGAAUGAUGAAUUGAUUGGUCUUGAAAACUGCAUUCCAUUUUAAUCAUAUAUUUUGGUUCAGGAGUGAAAAAAACUGAAUCCUUGUCUAUUGUUGCCUUCUUUUUUCUCUGACUUUCAGACAUGUAGAACAUUCCCG
This 1181-nucleotide long non-coding RNA is filed under the name Homo sapiens (human). RNAcentral describes it as "HSALNT0087580". Lineage: Eukaryota; Metazoa; Chordata; Mammalia; Primates; Hominidae. The record is from RNAcentral.